UCUGUCAAUUGCAUGCCACAAAACCUGCAUAAGUUUGCAUACUCCUAAUUUGGCUUUCAAUAUUGGUCAUUGUCCCUAGCAGAAGAUACAGCAAGACUUCUUUUGCAUCUCUCACGCCCACAUGAACCACAUUAGGGCUGAGACCUUGGGAAUUGCUGAAUUCCCAAUACUAGGCUGCAUCAGGAAUAUCCAAGUUGGGGUUAAAGAUACAAUCUUUUCAUCAAGGGUUUUGAGGAGUAUAUAAAUUUAAUUCUAGAUGAUGCUGGAAAAGUCAACAUCAAGAGGAAGAGCAAAAAACUUUAGAUGGGUUCAUUUUCCUUUACUUU
Long non-coding RNA from Quercus robur (English oak), 326 nucleotides. RefSeq lists it as uncharacterized. The transcript is spliced from 3 exons. Lineage: Eukaryota; Viridiplantae; Streptophyta; Magnoliopsida; Fagales; Fagaceae. The record is from RefSeq and is a predicted model, not a curated record.